CAACUCAGAACUGCUCAGUGCCCUGGCUCUCCGAGCACAGGAGGAACACAUCAAGGAAGCCCUACUGGCUCACAGCUUCCUAGGUCGCCAGCCAGGGGGCCCCCAAGGCACACCUGAAGGUAAGUCUUCCCUGUCUUCUAGGUUCUUCCUGCUGUUGAUAGGCCUUCUCUGUUACCUCUCAGGCCCUCCCUGUUGUCCCCCAGGCACUCCCUGCUGUCCCCCCAGGCCCUCCCUGUUGUCCCCCAGGCACUCCCUGCUGUCCCCCCAGGCCCUCCCUGCUGUCCCCCAGGCCCAGGUUUCCUCUAGCUCCAGCUUGGACACAGUCUCUCCCUUCAGAGACCUCCAGGUGGCUGCAGUCUGAAGUGGAAAGCUGGCUUCUGGCCCAGUCAGGCUGUGAUGUAACCUUCAAUGGACCUCGGGCCCUGGCCCAUCUGCAAGCCCUGA
This 444-nucleotide long non-coding RNA is filed under the name Rattus norvegicus (Norway rat). RNAcentral's name for it is "long non-coding RNA NONRATT000720". Lineage: Eukaryota; Metazoa; Chordata; Mammalia; Rodentia; Muridae. The record is from RNAcentral.